Molecule: long non-coding RNA, 211 nt
Filed under: Elaeis guineensis (African oil palm)
Lineage: Eukaryota; Viridiplantae; Streptophyta; Magnoliopsida; Arecales; Arecaceae
Description: long non-coding RNA (EGUI_LNC046338)
Source: RNAcentral
GUGCUUUAAAAUGACUUCUAUUACUAGUUAGUAUUUAAUUCAUUUCUUUAAAUAGAAAUAAGAUAGUAGUUCAUUGACUAUGAAUAUGAUUGUUUCUUGUUAAAUUUUUAUAGGAUGAAAACAAUCAUGGACUUGGACGUGAAGAUGAAGAAUGAUGGGAUACAAUGACAUGAAGACUUUGAUAUUAUUUUGGAGCUUUUCUUUUUAAUAU